CCUACGGGUGGCAGCAGUAGGGAAUAUUGCUCAAUGGGGGAAACUCUGAAGCAGCAACGCCGCGUGGAGGAUGAAGGUUUUCGGAUUGUAAACUCCUUUUGUUAGAGAAGAUAAUGACGGUCUCUAUCGACUAAGCACCGUCUAACUCCGUUCCAGCAGCCGCGGUAAUACGGAGGGUGCAAGCGUUACUCGGAAUCACUGGGCGUAAAGCGCGCGUAGGCGGGUUAGCAAGUCAGAUGUGAAAUCCUAUGGCUUAACCAUAGAACUGCAUUUGAUACUGUUAUUCUAGAGUAUGGGAGAGGUAGGUGGAAUGCUUGGUGGAGGGGUAAAAUGCGUAGAGAUAAAGAGGAAUACUCAUUGCGAAGGCGACCUGCUAGAACAUAACUGACGCUGAUGCGCGAAAGCGUGGGGAGCAAACAGGAUUAGAUACCCGGGUAGUC
RNAcentral lists this ribosomal RNA (440 nucleotides) under uncultured bacterium. Its description in RNAcentral is "partial 16S ribosomal RNA". It matches the Rfam family "Bacterial small subunit ribosomal RNA", at positions 338 to 795 of the family's 1533-position model. The record is from RNAcentral.